Molecule: ribosomal RNA, 472 nt
Filed under: uncultured bacterium
Lineage: Bacteria
Description: partial 16S ribosomal RNA
Rfam family: Bacterial small subunit ribosomal RNA
Source: RNAcentral
GACGAACGCUGGCGGCGUGCUUAACACAUGCAAGUCGAACGCUGAAGCUUGGUGCUUGCACUGGGUGGAUGAGUGGCGAACGGGUGAGUAAUAAGUGAGUAACCUGCCCUUGACUCUGGGAUAAGCCUGGGAAACUGGGUCUAAUACUGGAUACGACAUGUCACCGCAUGGUGGUGUGUGGAAAGGGUUUUACUGGUUUUGGAUGGGCUCACGGCCUAUCAGCUUGUUGGUGGGGUAAUGGCUCACCAAGGCGACGACGGGUAGCCGGCCUGAGAGGGUGACCGGCCACACUGGGACUGAGACACGGCGCAGACGCCUACGGGAGGCAGCAGUGGGGAAUAUUGCACAAUGGGCGGAAGCCUGAUGCAGCGACGCCGCGUGAGGGAUGACGGCCUUCGGGUUGUAAACCUCUUUCAGCACGGAAGAAGCGAAAGUGACGGUACGUGCAGAAGAAGCGCCGGCUAACUACGUG